Molecule: microRNA precursor, 65 nt
Filed under: Marmota monax (woodchuck)
Lineage: Eukaryota; Metazoa; Chordata; Mammalia; Rodentia; Sciuridae
Source: RNAcentral
GUGUGUGAGUGUGUGUGUGUGUGUAUGUGUGUCUCACACACAUACACACACACACACACACACAC